RNAcentral lists this ribosomal RNA (253 nucleotides) under uncultured bacterium. Its description in RNAcentral is "partial 16S ribosomal RNA". It matches the Rfam family "Bacterial small subunit ribosomal RNA", at positions 524 to 776 of the family's 1533-position model. The record is from RNAcentral.
UACGUAGGGGGCAAGCGUUGUCCGGAUUUAUUGGGCGUAAAGAGCGUGUAGGCGGUCUGGUAGGUCCGUUGUGAAAACUCGAGGCUCAACCUCGAGACGCCGAUGGAAACCAUCAGACUAGAGUCCGGAAGAGGAGAGUGGAAUUCCUGGUGUAGCGGUGAAAUACGCAGAUAUCAGGAAGAACACCCGUGGCUAAGGCGGCUCUCUAGUACGGUACUGACGCUGAGACGCGAAAGCGUGGGGAGCGAACAGG